UUGAUUUUGUGGCCCAAAAAUAGUUGCCUGAAGAACAAACCCACAACCGGAAAUUUAAACGCAAGGCUGAGGGUCAGGCUGAACCCAAAACUACCAUUAACGUUGCCAGUAGUCCACCAGAUGGCUACGGACCUCUCUUCUCCUACGCUCCUCUUAUCCAGAAACAACACUUCAGCUCCACGAUUUCACCAAACAAGAAACUCUCUCUCUCUCUAUAGAACAACUUAUCCUCUCUCCAAUUCCAGAACUGCCAUCCCCAGGCUUCGCCUCCUCUGCCGGACUUCCGGAACUCAUUCCACAAGUGUUUCCGACGUCGAAUUCGCCGCGGAAGUUGGCCAGCAUCGUCUUUCCAAGGAAAUCUCUCCCUCUUCCUCUCCCUCUCUCUCUCUUAGUAGAUUUCAAUCGCUAUUAUGUUUGUUUCCUCUUCCACAGUUUCUUGUGCAGGUUCCUGUAGCCAAUAUCAGAAAUUUCUGCAUCAUAGCACAUAUUGAUCAUGGGAAAUCAACCUUGGCCGAUAAAUUGCUUCAAAUGACUGGGACUGUGCAGCAGCGAGAAAUGAAGGAUCAGUUUCUUGAUAGCAUGGAUUUGGAAAGAGAAAGAGGCAUCACUAUCAAAUUACAGGCAGCUAGGAUGCGUUAUGUUUAUGAAAAUGAACCAUAUUGCCUGAAUUUGAUUGAUACUCCUGGGCAUGUAGACUUCUCAUAUGAGGUUUCUCGUUCUCUUGCAGCUUGUGAGGGUGCUCUCCUAGUUGUUGAUGCUUCCCAGGGAGUGGAAGCACAAACGCUGGCUAAUGUUUAUUUGGCCUUGGAAAAUAACCUUGAAAUCAUCCCUGUUUUAAACAAAAUAGAUCUUCCAGGUGCUGAGCCAGAUCGUGUUAUCCAUGAGAUUGAAGAGGUUAUUGGUUUAGACUGUAGCAAUGCAAUACGCUGCUCUGCAAAGGAGGGAAUAGGUAUAACUGACAUUCUGAAUGCAAUUGUCAAACGGAUACCGUCACCCUGUGAUACUGCUAAACUGCCAUUGAGGGCUUUAAUAUUUGAUAGGCUUUAUUGCAUUUUUGAAUAUUCUUGCAGUUACUAUGAUCCAUAUCGUGGUGUUAUUGUAUAUUUCCGGGUCAUAGAUGGGAGUAUAAAGAGAGGUGACAGAAUCUAUUUCAUGGCCAGCAAGAAGGAUUACUUUGCUGAUGAAAUUGGAGUUUUAUCUCCCAAUCAGUUGCAAGUGGAAGAAUUGUAUUCGGGUGAAGUUGGCUACCUUUCUGCUUCCAUAAGGUCAGUAGCAGAUGCCAGGGUGGGUGGUACUGUCACUCACUACAAUAGAAGGGCAGAAAAUUCACUACCUGGAUACAAGGAAGCUACUCCAAUGGUGUUCUGUGGCUUGUUUCCUGUUGAUGCUGACCAGUUUCCUGAGUUACGUGAUGCAUUGGAAAAGCUACAACUCAAUGAUGCUGCAUUAAAGUUUGAGCCUGAAACUUCAAGUGCCAUGGGUUUUGGAUUUAGAUGCGGUUUCCUUGGUCUACUUCACAUGGAAAUUGUUCAGGAAAGGCUUGAGAGAGAAUACAAUCUGAGCUUAAUAACGACUGCUCCAAGUGUUGUGUACAGAGUGAACUGUGUAAAUGGCGAUACUGUUGAGUGCUCAAAUCCAUCUUUACUUCCUGAACCUGGAAAAAGGUUGUCAAUUGAGGAGCCGUUUGUGAAGAUUGAAAUGCUUACACCAAAAGAUUAUAUUGGUCCACUUAUGGAGCUGGCUCAAGAUAGAAGAGGCGAUUUUAAAGAGAUGAAAUUUAUAACUGAGAAUAGGGCAUCGAUCACAUAUGAAUUACCCCUUGCUGAGAUGGUGGGUGAUUUCUUUGACCAGUUGAAGUCCAGGAGUAAAGGAUAUGCUAGCAUGGAGUACACUUUUGUUGGGUACAACACUAGCUCCUGGUGACUCUCGCCUUCCUUCCAUGUUCACCUCUUUCGGUCUCGCCUUCAACAGACGAUGCUACUCCUCCCUUUGCCAUCCGAAAAUGAUGGUGUAAUGUAAUGGUUGAAGGGAUGACUGCUCUCCAUAACAAUGGCACUUGGGAUUUGGUGCCACUACCAAAGGGCAAAUCUAUUUUUGGCUGUCGAUGGUUGGUGGGGCCUGAUGGCCAGAUUGAUAGACUUAAAGCUCGUCUUGUUGCAAAGGGCUAUACUCAAAUCUUUGGCCUCGAUUACAGUGAUACCUUCUCUCCUGUGGCUAAGAUUGCCUCGGUUUGCCUUCUUAUUUCCUUAGCUGUCAUCCAUUACUGGCCACUUCAUCAACUGGAUAUCAAAAAUGCCUUUUUACAUGGCAAGCUAGCUGAGAAAGUUUAUAUGGAGCAACCACCAAGGUUUGUUGCUCAGGGGGAGUCUGGUUUGGUGUGUCGCCUACAACGUUCUUUAUAUGGCUUGAAACAAUCUCCGAGAGCAUGGUUUGGACGGUUCAGUACUGUAGUCCAACAAUUUGGAAUGUCUCAGAGUGAAGUUGACCAUUCAGUAUUUUUCCACCGUAAUGGCCAUGAUAAGUGCAUUUAUCUCGUUGUUUAUGUUGAUGACAUUGUUAUUACAGGAAAUGAUCAUGUUGGGAUCUCAAAACUCAAACAACACUUGUCCAGUCAUUUUCAGACUAGGGAUCUUGGGAAGUUAAAGUAUUUCGUGGGGAUUGAAGUGGCACAAUCCAAAACAGGUAUCGCCAUUUCUCAAAGGAAGUAUGCUUUGGAUAUACUGACAGAGAAGGGCAUGUUAGACUGUAGACACGUAGAUACUCCUAUGGAUCCAAAUGUCAAACUUGUUUCUGGACAGGGGGAGCCAUUGGAGGAUCCUGGUAGAUACCGGAGAUUGGUUGGAAAACUCAUUUAUCUUACAAUCACACGCCCAGACAUCUCAUUUGUUAUAAGCGUGGUUAGUCAGUUCCUUUAAGUACCAUGUAGUAGUCAUUGGGAUGCAGUUAUUCAGAUACUCAGAUAUAUUAAAGGAGCUCCAUGACAAGGCCUAUUAUAUGAAGACAGGGGUCAUUUACUGAUUAUUGGUUACUCAGAUGUAGAUUGGGCAGGUUCUCCUUCAGACAGACGGUCUACUUCUGGAUAUUGCAUUAUGAUUACAGGUAAUUUGAUUUCUUGGAAAAGUAAGAAGCAAGAUGUGGUUGCUAGGACAAGUGCAGAAGUAGAAUAUCGAGCUAUGGCUUUGCUAACUUGUGAACUUAUAUGGUUGAAACAACUUCUCUAAAAGUUGAAGUAUGGGGAACUUAAACAAAUGCAGCUAAUCUGUGACAAUCAAAUUGCACUUCACAUUGUCUCUAAUCCAGUGUUUCAUGAGAGAACGAAACAUAUAGAGGUGAAUUGUCAUUUCAUCAAACAAAAGAUUGAAUCUGGGUGUAUUGCUACUAGCUUUGCUAGCUCAAAUGACCAACUAGCAGAUAUCCUGACCAAAUCUCUCAGAGUCUCUCGCAUUGAAUAUAUUUGUAACAAGCUUGGAGCAUAUAAUUUGUAUGUUCCAGCUUGAGGGGGAGUGUUAAGAUAUGUACUAUAAAUAGCUAGGAUAUGUGUAUCUAUAGUGAUUGUGUGAAUAUAUUUAGGUGCUAGAAUCGUGGCUAUAAUUACGUAUUUAAUUAGGAUUGUAUUUUCUAUUUAGUUGUUCUGUACAGAUUAUAAAUUGAUACCAUUGGCUUGAGGGAAUAAUCAAGCUCUUCAAUAAUUCUUAA
Molecule: RNA transcript, 3696 nt
Organism: Hevea brasiliensis (rubber tree)
Lineage: Eukaryota; Viridiplantae; Streptophyta; Magnoliopsida; Malpighiales; Euphorbiaceae
Gene name: translation factor GUF1 homolog, chloroplastic
Exons: 19
Source: RefSeq, a predicted model, not a curated record